This 1865-nucleotide long non-coding RNA is filed under the name Capra hircus (goat). RNAcentral describes it as "lncRNA (ENSCHIG00010006687.1)". The record is from RNAcentral. Lineage: Eukaryota; Metazoa; Chordata; Mammalia; Artiodactyla; Bovidae.
GACUGUAGCCUACCAGGCUUCUCCAUCCAUGGGAUUCUCCAGGCAAGACUGGAGUGGAUUGCCAUGCCCUUCUCCAAGAGCACUUUCUUCCCUUGACUAAAAAAAAAUCAGUGCGAGAGACAUUCACACCCGGGUAUAAGCUCUCCCACAUUUCUCAAUGCCCUGCCGUGAAUGGGGCGGGAGGCCAGUCCUGCCACUGCCAAUAGGCAGCACAGGGGCUUCAGAGUGUGACUGAGCCUGGAAAACGCCUCAAGAACACAGCAGCACAAACUUCCAAAUACAUCCGCACUAGACAGACAAGCAUCGGCUUGAGGCUUUACAAAACGUCUUUGAAGUUACCCUGGCCCACCUGGCCUCACUGACAUCAGUGACCAUCAGUGAAAGCACCACGUCUGACCCAGGCCUGGGGCUGCCUUGUCCGCUGUGGGUAUCCUGGGCUGUUGGCUUGGGUGGUCCACUGCCCUUCCUCUGUGUGUCUUGCUUAAGUGAACCCUCAGUUGCGUCUGCCGAGUAGCCCAGUGACAGGCGGGAAGCCCCAAAGCCUUGCUGGAGAACAGAGGAGUCAGAAUGACUCACGCUCUGUGGGGACCACCUGACCUCCAGAACCAGGCUUCCCUGCGUCUGCCCAGCAGGACACAGGGCCUACCGAAGGUGCAGUAUAUCUGUGGGUGUCUUUUGGUGUCUUCUCUUCCCUGACUCUGGGGUGACAUGAAUUUGUUACCAGGGCUGAGCAGAGAUGGCAAUUUCAGCUCAGCUCUCCAGAGGGGUAUUAGGGUUUUCCUAUCAGUGGGCAGCUAUUUUUACUCUCCUGCUCGCCAGCCACUCCGACGGCCUCGUCCCAAACGCUCACCAUUCGACCUGACUCACGCGGGCUGGCCUCGGGAUCCCACUUUCAGUUUUUAUUCCCUUUCAUCUCCUAAGAGCUCCCACCCACUCCCUGUGUCACUCAGCAGGCUUCUCUCUCUCUUUCUUGUCUCCUCCAGAUGCUGUAAAUUUGAGGCAGGACCCACACAGCCUGUUCUUUCAAGCAAUUCUCUCGUGUCUUGCAUAACCAUCCUUCAGAAAGAGAUGGGAGUGCCACGUGUUGUAAGAACGGAGGAGGAAUUCUGAGAGGAAAAAGCCAAAGUGCUCACAGGAGUCCAGGGAUCCACAAAACACCUCCUUCCAGGAAACCAGUUAAGAGGCUGGGUUGAGAUUUGCUCUCUUCCCAUUAGCUGUCAAUGAGAUUUUGGUAGAAGACAGUGUUAAUUAUUCCAAGCAAAGGACAGCCCUUCAGGGGUGGGAUGAGUUCCACUGCUGGGCUUCUGUGCAUGGAAGCUACCUUGCUCUCUGGAGCAAUUGAAAAAACACUUCAGAGACAUCUUUUUUUUUUUUUGUACUUCACCAUAAUCUCAGCAUGUCGAGUAGACCAAACAUCUCUUCUUCUCUUCUAAUGAAGGAAACAGAUAAAGCUGCUUCCUGCUGCCUCUUUCUCUCCAGCUACUCUGCUCGUUCCGUGUCACCCAGGCAGACCUCAUCUCGUCUCUAACACCCCUCCUGGUGGGGAUGAAAGGUGACACCCAGAGCCUGGGUCCAGAAUAAAGUCCUGACAAAGUACCACCAUAUCGGCACAGUCUAUGACUAUUUACCAUUAAAGUAACAGUAAAUCAACCUAAGAGGCUCCUUAUAAAACAUGCAGCAAUAUCCUCUGCCUCAAAAGAGGCUUCCUAGCACGGUGCACAGAGUGGAGUACCACACAGGUUCAGGGGAGGCAAAGGGAGUGGGCCAGAAGAAAAAGUGUUAAAGGCCGUGGGUAGAGAAAUCCAGAAGAAAAUAAAAGAACACUGACAUACUCUCUAAAACAUAAAAUCCCGUUAAGUGUCCUU